AGCCAGUGGUGUAGCGCCGGGGUGUGUGUGGCGCAAUGCACUAGGUGCAUGCCUGUGCGGGAGCGUGGGCAGGGGCAUGGCAGGGGCGCAGGGCGCACGCGUGCCCCAGGCGCAGUUUCCCCUCACACUGCCCCUGAGUUUAGCCAAUAAGUCUUUUCCCAAAGAUUCUUCAGAAUUGUACCUUUGGGAAUGUGCUGCUUUGCCCAUGAAAUCCUUAGUUCUUCUUGCAGGAAAAACAGUCCCCAGGAUUCCCUGGGUAGAUGAGUUAUAGUGAAUGCACUAUAGAGCUCUUCCAUAGUAUAAUAUUAUUUAGAUGUGAGCUAACUAAAAGCAUCACAUUAUUGAGAGUGAUAUCUAACUGAAAGACAGUGAUGAGAACAAAAGUUGAAUGGCAUUUGGAGAAAUACAAAUGGCACUAAAGAUGAAAUCAGUACAAGCUUAUAGAAGGUAGAAUGCCAGGAGGUCUGUACCAUUUGCUGUGGAAUGAAUAACACAAGAGAUCUUUGCUAGAGUAUUCUGCCCAGAUGCACAGUCCCACCAAGCAGAGCUAUUUAUGCCUGGCUAAGGCUGAGAAUUCUUUCCAUGAGAUGGAGGAGUGAGCAUAUAUUUUUUUGCAUGCAUACAUGCACGAGCACACACAGAGCAACUUGCAACUGAAGGCUUCACUGAGCAAAUUUGCACAGGUCUUCUAUCCCUCUCACCACAAGGAUAAAAAGAUUUCGACUGCAGAUAAUGGUAUGGAUAGGAGCAUCUAAGCCUCAUAAGAACAUAAGAUGAGCCCUGCUGGAUCAGACCAAUGGCCCAUCUAGUCCAGCAGUGCAACAGCCAAUCAGUCGCCUACACUACGCAAAGGGCCAAAACAGACUGCUGAGAAAUGCUUGAUUUUGGUAGACUUAACUGCCAAAUAAUGGGUACAAUCUUCCCAGAAUCCUAUUGAUAUGAAUGGAAAACGAAGCACAGGAUCCAUUCCUCUCACACGAGAAUGCCAUUUCUUCAGAAUUGUGUCCAUUGUUUUUAGGGGUUAAUCUGAUAGGCAAUGGAGGUGACAUCCCAGUCCAAGAGGUCUGUGCUCAUGUAUCUCCCUGCCAUGUUAGCGUAACUUCUUCAGGGCUCCAUCAAGAUAUUUGGUGCGAAAGAUAGAAAUGAUACAGGGUCCUCUCUUUCUUCCCCCCUAAUUGGUGGUGUAUUUCUGGUCUUCCAACACACGUCUCUAGAUGUUGUUGAUGCGACUCUGUUAAACAAAUUUCCUUUCCUUGCAUUCCCUUUUCUUCACUUCCACACACCAUCUCUAUCACUGAAAUGUACUAAGAAUAGGUUUCAGUUUUUAUAGAACUGACUGCAAGGCCACAGAGAUAAGAUCACAUCUUAAGUUCAUGGGGCUGGGCAGCUCAAUCAAAAUUUUGUUCACUGCCUUUGAACAGUGUUCAAAAUCCACUGCCCAAAUUGACUGCACUCAUGGCAGAGCAAGUCAUGUGGAAGCAGAGCUACUCUGGCAUGUAAAGUCAAGUGUUUGAGAUGUUAUGCUUCAGCACAGCACAGCCCAUUCUGUGCAUGCAAAUCAGCUGCAAUCCAAGUUGAACUUAAUGAAACUUGUACUCUGAUCUUAAAGGCAGUCACUUGGAAAUAAGUCUCAUCAAUGAAUGAGCUUGAGUAAAAUCCUGCGGUUUGCAGGCUGUAUCAACUUUGAAAGCAAUUCUCUUUAGCUGUGCUAUGAAUCGUGUGGUUAGAGUACCUUGCAGACAUCUAUAGUGUCAUGCAAGGUGUUAUUCUGACAUUCUGUACAGAUACACAAAAUAAGAUAAAAUCAUAGCGUUGGAGGAGACCACAAGGGACAUCAAAUUCAACCCCCCCUGCAAUGCAGGAACACACAAUCAAAGCACUCUCAACAGAUGUACAUCCAGCCUCUGUUCAAAAACCUCCCAAGAAGGAGACUCCACCACACUCCAAGGCAGUAUAUUCCACUGUCAAACUGCUCUUAUAAUCAGGAAGUUGAAAAUCCUCAUCCUAAGAUGUGUAUGAAUGCUGUUUAUGAAUAGAAGUGGAGAUUUUUAAAAUUUGAGAACUGUGGUAUACCUAUAUAUUAAAUAAACAAAAGGGUGGAUGCAGAUGAGUCACAGGAUCAGCUGUGGUUUUAUGGGAUGCCAAAACAUCAGCCUUCCUUGAAAACUGCAGGAGAAUGUUUCUGGCCUGAUUCUGUUCAGCCUGCAAGCAGUAAAAUUUCUAACAGGCACAGGAGAAACUCUCCUUGGGCAGCAAUUUUCUGACUGAGGUCUCACAGAUACAAUCCUUGGCAUAACAGCCACAAGAGAAAAGGACACUGAAAGAGAAUGAGAAUCUCACAGAAGACUUACAACACACAAUCCUCAGGUGCCAGCAUGAGUUCUCUCCUAUAGGGCAACCAGGAACUGCUCUGAGAUAGGGAGAGAGAGAGAGUUGCUUCUGUGCAGGUGACAAGAAAAACAGCAGCUUCACCGGACAGUGUGUGCUAGCAGUGCCCACUCCUCCAGACUGUGCCAUCAUGUGACUGCCAUCUGUGCCUUGCGAGCUCUGCCCAGUUCUGCGUGGGCAAUUCCUUGGAGCCGUGCCUGUAAAAGAGUGCUACAGUAGAAGUCUGGAAGCUGCACACAAUCAGAUUAACGGUUUCCCACACACACCUACCAAGUCUGCCAAAUGGCGUGCUAUUUUCUUGGAGCCACUUAACAUUGUGUUUGCCAGUUUGCUGAGAAAAGCAGCAGACUGGAGUUAGAAAGGAGUGCCAGGUCUGAAAGCGUUGAAGACUGAUGUUGUUCUACAGCCCAUGUGUAGAGAGCUCUAGCUGGACCUUGGGUGUUCUCAUUCCAUUGGAUCUGAUUCCUGCAGGUUGUUUCAACUGAUGUCACACAGCCAAAAAACAAAACAAAACCCAGCUCCCAAGGGUGGAUUGGUUCUUAACCCCUGGACAGCACUACACGGCCUCAUACUUCGAUAAAUUGCCUAAGAAUUCU
This is a long non-coding RNA of Sphaerodactylus townsendi, 2984 nucleotides long. RefSeq lists it as uncharacterized. NCBI's taxonomy places the organism in Eukaryota, Metazoa, Chordata, Lepidosauria, Squamata, Sphaerodactylidae. The record is from RefSeq and is a predicted model, not a curated record. The transcript has 3 exons.